This 551-nucleotide unclassified non-coding RNA is filed under the name Hevea brasiliensis (rubber tree). Lineage: Eukaryota; Viridiplantae; Streptophyta; Magnoliopsida; Malpighiales; Euphorbiaceae. The record is from RNAcentral.
AUAAAUCUCAUCCACCGUCUGCAAGAUCAAAUCAUAAGGCAAAAAAUGAAAACAAAGUUUCAGUAGUUUAAAUAUUGUUUGGAUUGAAGGAUCAUAAAUGAUCUUUGAUUUCAUCAAUGCAAGCAUGUGACAACUACAUAGAUUAAAAGGGAAAAUUUAAGAAAGAACUCCACUGUUUGUGAAAGAAUCAAUCCAGUUGUCUUUGCAAAUGGUAUCAGAUGGUAACAGUUGACUGAUGUUAAUACGAGAUGUUAGGAGAAUUCUUAUUGACUACAUUUUUAUAGUUUUUAAUUCCUUUCUAGAGCUUACAUAGCGCUGUCUGUAUCUGUUUCAAAAUUAAUUUGUUUAGGCCAUGAAUGCCUAAAUAGAAACACCUGGUUGCAUCUCAAGGAGACCAUGAAUGUUUAUGUUGAAACCAAACCUGUGGAGGAAUGUUGGUCAUCUCAAAAUAUCCACCCCGCUGUCCACAUUCACCCCAAUAUCCUUUGGACACAGUGUGGAAGGAAACGAGUUGGAUUUCCUUGCUUAUUGGCGGCCCCAUAUCCAUCAAA